UACGGAGGGUGCAAGCGUUAUCCGGAUUUACUGGGCGUAAAGGGCUCGUAGGCGGCCAACUAAGUCCGACGUGAAAUCCCCAGGCUUAACCUGGGAACUGCGUCGGAUACUGGAUGGCUUGAAUUCGGGAGAGGGAUGCAGAAUUCCAGGUGUAGCGGUGAAAUGCGCAGAUAUCAGGAGGAGCACCGGUGGCGAAGGCGGGUCUCUGGGCCGAUACUGACGCUGAGGAGCGAAAGCGUGGGGAGCGAACAGG
RNAcentral lists this ribosomal RNA (253 nucleotides) under uncultured bacterium. Its description in RNAcentral is "partial 16S ribosomal RNA". It matches the Rfam family "Bacterial small subunit ribosomal RNA", at positions 524 to 776 of the family's 1533-position model. The record is from RNAcentral.